Molecule: ribosomal RNA, 215 nt
Filed under: Glomeromycotina sp.
Lineage: Eukaryota; Fungi; Glomeromycota
Description: partial small subunit ribosomal RNA
Rfam family: Eukaryotic small subunit ribosomal RNA (bases 39-215)
Source: RNAcentral
GGUCAGUAGGUUGGUCGUGCCACCGGUACGUACUGGUCUCACUGAUUCCUCCUUCCUGAAGAACCGUAAUGCCAUUAAUUUGGUGUUGCGGGGAAACAGGACUGUUACUUUGAAAAAAUUAGAGUGUUUAAAGCAAGCUAACGCUUGAAUACAUUAGCAUGGAAUAAUGAAAUAGGACGAUCGAUCCUAUUUUGCUGGUUUCUAGGAUUGACGUA